Molecule: long non-coding RNA, 872 nt
Filed under: Anas platyrhynchos platyrhynchos (common mallard)
Lineage: Eukaryota; Metazoa; Chordata; Aves; Anseriformes; Anatidae
Description: lncRNA (ENSAPLG00000024329.1)
Source: RNAcentral
UGACUGCAAAGGAGGAAUACUAAAGGAGACUGCUUCGCCUGUGUGAAUACCGAUGUGAGAGCUUUGCUUGGGAGAGUCUGGCAGUUCGUAUUCUUUAAUACAUGGACUGGUAGAGGAACUUACAAAAUAGUUGGAAAUUUAGCUGCCAGGAAUCCAAAAUGUUGUAACAGCAUCUAAGGCUCUGUUGGCUAAAUUCUCCAUUGUUCCUGGGGUUCUGAAUUGCAAAUGUUUAAUUCCAAGCAGUCAAAAAGUCGCCGUUCUAGCACUUUCCUCCAGCCAGCAGAGGAAAUAAAAGGAUGAUAAUCGGCUAACCACUGUUUGUUUUGAUGAUGUCAGAAAUGUGAAAGAUGGGAAAGGUUUGGUUUCAAAGAGAGAAAACAUUAUCAGAAAUUAGUGGAAAUUAACCAAUCAGCUUGACACGCUGUCAUCCCUCUGGAUGGGAUUCAAUUUGGAGUUCACUUUACAAUUUUAGCUGCCAAAGAGAAUAAGUCUGACUGAUGUGAGGCUGCUAUCUGCUUAACAUUUUCCUGGACCAUAGAGGAUAUGCUGGCGAUCAGGGCCAUCCAACUCGCACAGACCUCCACUGGUGUGGUUUGAACAUACAAGACUUUUCCUGCCGUGAGAAGGGGAGACUGUGCUGCAUUAUGAAAACGUCAACAUCAAAAAGAAGGCAAGAAAAAAAUAUGACCUCCUCAUCCCAUGGUAUCAUGAAGUAAUAGAAUUACAGGAAGAAAAGAAGGAAGCUGUUUUAACUGUAAGCAGAAUGAAGCAUGAGCAAAGCAUACGUAUAUAGGGAAAUGACAUUCAGCCCAAAUGACAUUUCUCUGCAUGCACUGUAAGUUUUAAAGCUACACGAUCCUUUCUUAGUUGUG